AGAAAAGAGUCGGUGGAAUGGGUGAAUAUGGUUUUGGGGAAGUUGUGGAAGGUUUAUAAGCCUGGGCUUGAGAAUUGGGUCAUUGGGUUGCUACAGCCAGUGAUUGAUAAUCUAAGGAAACCUGAUUACGUGGAGAGAGUUGAAAUUAAGCAGUUUUCGUUGGGAGAUGAGCCAUUCUUAGUUAGGAAUGUCGAGCGCAGAACCUCACGUGGUGUCAAUGAUCUCCAGUAAGUUUGAUAUCCUAGUCUUAUAAGACGAGAUUUAAUAUUUCGGCUCUUAUUUGCUGUUUUUCUAAAAAUCUGUUCUUAUAUGUUCAUAUUCUAGUCAGUAUAUAACUAUGUAAGUAUCUGGUCUAAUUAGCGGCUAAUCAUCGUCUCUGUGUAAUAAGCAUAUAUCACAUGGUGACAUAAUACGAAUCUUAAAUUGUAUUAGUACUUUUCUUCAUAGGUAUAAAAGAACAGAAGUUACCCCAUAAUUACAUGUAGAUAAUACUUAAGUCUAAACUAACAGUGUAUAUUCUACACAGAAUGCCACUAAUUUAAUCAUAAUGCAAGGAUCUAAUAAUUUCUUAAUGGAUCAAAGGCAACAGGAAGGAUGCUCUCUAUAUCAGUAGAGGAAAAUCCCGAGAAAAUCUAUAUUUUUUCUCGACAUCCAAAGCUGGAUUAUGCAAUGUGUAGUGUCAAGUUGUUAUGAUGUGUGGUGGAUGCAAAAGUGCAAGACAAUGUAAACAUUAACUCUCUGUGCAUACAUGCCUUUGGCAAUGAGGNAUUUUGAUGGUCUUGAAUAUGCCACCACCCACAUUCACAAUCUCAUCAAAUUCCCAUUUUCAUGGAGGCUGAAGUUAGUGUAGUUACUCUCAAGUUGCAAUCUUGUACUCUGCUUAUAACAUAGCUUUUAUCUUCAUGCCCCUUUGUCAAGCACUUAAAGGUGUUUGUUUUAAUGCUUCAAUGAAUCUGAAAACAAAUAUUAAAAGCUGUAGCUUUUCACAGAUGAUAUUAGUAUCACCAUUGAGUUGCCCAUGUAAAAGGGUUGCUUGUCCUUUCUUUGCUAGUUUUUACAGUAGGAAAAUAUUCAUUACCCACAAGAGGAAAUUGGGUGUUACUCGUUUAGUUAGUCGGGGUGCGAAAUAUAGUCUUUCUGGUGAUUUGGAUGGUAAGGGCUUGUCUCAAGAGCCUGUUGCAUUUGGUACUUCUAACAUUACUGAUUUUAGAGAAGAUCCUAUAGUUGAUAAGCUCAGGACACAGUUAGGAGUUAUUCAUCCUAUUCCCUCUCCUCCGUUUAAUUCGAACAUUGUGGGGUUGUUUGUGUUCUUCUUCUUUGUUGGGGUUGUGUUUGAAAAGGUUUGGACUUUGAGGAAGAGGAGUAAGUCUGGGAGUGAGGGAGGGCCGGGUAUGUGGCCGCAAGUGCCCUCAAGCUUCUCUCUGUUUCUUGAAAAGGAUUUGCAAAGAAAAGAGUCGGUGGAAUGGGUGAAUAUGGUUUUGGGGAAGUUGUGGAAGGUUUAUAAGCCUGGGCUUGAGAAUUGGGUCAUUGGGUUGCUACAGCCAGUGAUUGAUAAUCUAAGGAAACCUGAUUACGUGGAGAGAGUUGAAAUUAAGCAGUUUUCGUUGGGAGAUGAGCCAUUCUUAGUUAGGAAUGUCGAGCGCAGAACCUCACGUGGUGUCAAUGAUCUCC
Molecule: long non-coding RNA, 1671 nt
Filed under: Daucus carota (carrot)
Lineage: Eukaryota; Viridiplantae; Streptophyta; Magnoliopsida; Apiales; Apiaceae
Description: long non-coding RNA (DCAR_LNC000539)
Source: RNAcentral